GCCUCCUGACUAACUAUAAGAGGUCAAGCCUGCCCAGUGACAUUGUUCAACGGCCGCGGUAUCCUAACCGUGCGAAGGUAGCGUAAUCACUUGUUCUUUAAAUGAGGACUAGUAUGAACGGCUUCACGAAGGCUAUACUGUCUCCCUUAUCUAAUCAGUUAAACUAAUCUCCCCGUGAAGAAGCGGGGAUUCACAUAUAAGACGAGAAGACCCUAUGGAGCUUAAAACACCUCUAAACAUUUGACCUCCACACUACCAUUUUCAGAAAUCUUCACAAAGCCCGUCAUUUUGUUUUAAGUUUUAGGUUGGGGUGACCGCGGAGAAUAACCUAACCUCCACGUAGAAAGAACUUUCUUUUCUAAGCAAAAAGCUACAUCUUUAUGCAUCAACAUAUUGACCUAAUUGACCCAAUUAUUUGAUCAACGAACCAAGUUACCCU
Molecule: ribosomal RNA, 439 nt
Filed under: Allobates sumtuosus
Lineage: Eukaryota; Metazoa; Chordata; Amphibia; Anura; Aromobatidae
Description: partial large subunit ribosomal RNA
Rfam family: Bacterial large subunit ribosomal RNA
Source: RNAcentral